This 809-nucleotide ribosomal RNA is filed under the name human gut metagenome. RNAcentral's name for it is "bacterial SSU rRNA". It matches the Rfam family "Bacterial small subunit ribosomal RNA", at positions 542 to 1355 of the family's 1533-position model. The record is from RNAcentral.
UAUCCGGAUUUAUUGGGUUUAAAGGGUGCGUAGGCGGUCUGAUAAGUUAGAGGUGAAAUCCCGGGGCUUAACUCCGGAAUUGCCUCUGAUACUGUUGGGCUAGAGAGUAGUUGCGGUAGGCGGAAUGUAUGGUGUAGCGGUGAAAUGCUUAGAGAUCAUACAGAACACCGAUUGCGAAGGCAGCUUACCAAACUAUAUCUGACGUUGAGGCACGAAAGCGUGGGGAGCAAACAGGAUUAGAUACCCUGGUAGUCCACGCAGUAAACGAUGAUAACUCGUUGUCGGCGAUACACAGUCGGUGACUAAGCGAAAGCGAUAAGUUAUCCACCUGGGGAGUACGUUCGCAAGAAUGAAACUCAAAGGAAUUGACGGGGGCCCGCACAAGCGGAGGAACAUGUGGUUUAAUUCGAUGAUACGCGAGGAACCUUACCCGGGCUUGAAAGUUACUGACGAUUCUGGAAACAGGAUUUCCCUUCGGGGCAGGAAACUAGGUGCUGCAUGGUUGUCGUCAGCUCGUGCCGUGAGGUGUCGGGUUAAGUCCCAUAACGAGCGCAACCCCUACCGUUAGUUGCCAUCAGGUCAAGCUGGGCACUCUGGCGGGACUGCCGGUGUAAGCCGAGAGGAAGGUGGGGAUGACGUCAAAUCAGCACGGCCCUUACGUCCGGGGCUACACACGUGUUACAAUGGUAGGUACAGAGGGCAGCUACCCAGCGAUGGGAUGCGAAUCUCGAAAGCCUAUCUCAGUUCGGAUUGGAGGCUGAAACCCGCCUCCAUGAAGUUGGAUUCGCUAGUAAUCGCGCAUCAGCCAU